UACGAACCGUCCUAACGUUAUUCGGAAUCACUGGGCUUAAAGGGUGCGUAGGCGGCUCCGUAAGUUGGGUGUGAAAUCCCUCGGCUUAACCGAGGAACUGCGCUCAAUACUGCGGGACUUGAGGGAGACAGAGGUAAGCGGAACUUAGGGUGGAGCGGUGAAAUGCGUUGAUAUCCUAAGGAACACCGGUGGCGAAAGCGGCUUACUGGGUCUCUUCUGACGCUGAGGCACGAAAGCUAGGGUAGCGAACGGG
This 253-nucleotide ribosomal RNA is filed under the name uncultured bacterium. RNAcentral's name for it is "partial 16S ribosomal RNA". It matches the Rfam family "Bacterial small subunit ribosomal RNA", at positions 524 to 776 of the family's 1533-position model. The record is from RNAcentral.